Molecule: ribosomal RNA, 1384 nt
Filed under: Lactiplantibacillus plantarum subsp. plantarum
Lineage: Bacteria; Bacillati; Bacillota; Bacilli; Lactobacillales; Lactobacillaceae
Description: bacterial SSU rRNA
Rfam family: Bacterial small subunit ribosomal RNA
Source: RNAcentral
GGUGCUUGCAUCAUGAUUUACAUUUGAGUGAGUGGCGAACUGGUGAGUAACACGUGGGAAACCUGCCCAGAAGCGGGGGAUAACACCUGGAAACAGAUGCUAAUACCGCAUAACAACUUGGACCGCAUGGUCCGAGUUUGAAAGAUGGCUUCGGCUAUCACUUUUGGAUGGUCCCGCGGCGUAUUAGCUAGAUGGUGGGGUAACGGCUCACCAUGGCAAUGAUACGUAGCCGACCUGAGAGGGUAAUCGGCCACAUUGGGACUGAGACACGGCCCAAACUCCUACGGGAGGCAGCAGUAGGGAAUCUUCCACAAUGGACGAAAGUCUGAUGGAGCAACGCCGCGUGAGUGAAGAAGGGUUUCGGCUCGUAAAACUCUGUUGUUAAAGAAGAACAUAUCUGAGAGUAACUGUUCAGGUAUUGACGGUAUUUAACCAGAAAGCCACGGCUAACUACGUGCCAGCAGCCGCGGUAAUACGUAGGUGGCAAGCGUUGUCCGGAUUUAUUGGGCGUAAAGCGAGCGCAGGCGGUUUUUUAAGUCUGAUGUGAAAGCCUUCGGCUCAACCGAAGAAGUGCAUCGGAAACUGGGAAACUUGAGUGCAGAAGAGGACAGUGGAACUCCAUGUGUAGCGGUGAAAUGCGUAGAUAUAUGGAAGAACACCAGUGGCGAAGGCGGCUGUCUGGUCUGUAACUGACGCUGAGGCUCGAAAGUAUGGGUAGCAAACAGGAUUAGAUACCCUGGUAGUCCAUACCGUAAACGAUGAAUGCUAAGUGUUGGAGGGUUUCCGCCCUUCAGUGCUGCAGCUAACGCAUUAAGCAUUCCGCCUGGGGAGUACGGCCGCAAGGCUGAAACUCAAAGGAAUUGACGGGGGCCCGCACAAGCGGUGGAGCAUGUGGUUUAAUUCGAAGCUACGCGAAGAACCUUACCAGGUCUUGACAUACUAUGCAAAUCUAAGAGAUUAGACGUUCCCUUCGGGGACAUGGAUACAGGUGGUGCAUGGUUGUCGUCAGCUCGUGUCGUGAGAUGUUGGGUUAAGUCCCGCAACGAGCGCAACCCUUAUUAUCAGUUGCCAGCAUUAAGUUGGGCACUCUGGUGAGACUGCCGGUGACAAACCGGAGGAAGGUGGGGAUGACGUCAAAUCAUCAUGCCCCUUAUGACCUGGGCUACACACGUGCUACAAUGGAUGGUACAACGAGUUGCGAACUCGCGAGAGUAAGCUAAUCUCUUAAAGCCAUUCUCAGUUCGGAUUGUAGGCUGCAACUCGCCUACAUGAAGUCGGAAUCGCUAGUAAUCGCGGAUCAGCAUGCCGCGGUGAAUACGUUCCCGGGCCUUGUACACACCGCCCGUCACACCAUGAGAGUUUGUAACACCCAAAGUCGGUGGGG